This is a non-coding RNA of Paramuricea clavata, 918 nucleotides long. The record is from the annotation of a GenBank genome assembly. NCBI's taxonomy places the organism in Eukaryota, Metazoa, Cnidaria, Anthozoa, Malacalcyonacea, Plexauridae.
GUGCUUCGUAUUCAAGAAAGAGCGAUAGCAACAGUACAAAACCCAACAACUGUACGUAUAUAUUUGGCAACUCUGAAUAGAAAUAUGUGGAACAAUGUGAACGUAUUAUGACUGUUUGGAGGCAUGCAUAAGGCCACAGUGGCUGCUGCCAGUGUUGAUGCCAGAAAUGCAAUAAUCCACCAAGAACAAGACUGCAUGCAAGCUCUGGCAGAACUCGUAUAAUGAAACACUUUAUACAUGUCGCUAUGUACGGUAUAUAUUUAACAACCUAUGAACAGAAAUCGUACUUUUAAAUUUUGUAUUUGACUUGAUGUUGGUAUUUCUGUUUGAAUUAAUUUUGAAGCAUAUUAUAGACUUAUUGUAUUCGGUUUUAAAAUUGAACAUGGUCAUGGAUACUACUAGUGGUCUGGUUUCGACAUACAAAAAUACAUUGAAAUAAACAUUUAUAGAAUAACAUUUUCGAAAACCUUACAAUAUAUACAUCAACACAACUCACAAGAUCUGAAGUCAUCAACACAUGCACGCAGUUCUACGAAACAAAAGUCUGAACUUGAUCAACAACAAGAAAUAUAUACGACAAUUUGAACGAUAUUGUAUUUGUGUACUAUAUAUAUGUAUGAGUAGGGUUGAUAAUGAAAGAAGUAUAUAGCGUGCAGACGAUGUUAUGUGAAGCUACUCUGAAUGGUGCGACACUGCGACACUGGGCAAGCUGAACAUUUGCAUGAUCGUGGUGGCCAUUGGGUCCAUUGGCCAAGGAACCUGAUUGGAACGUAAAUGACGGGUACAAAAUAAUCAUUUAAGAUAAUGUUGCGCACAAUCUCUGAAGCAAACUGGUGAUUUUAAUGGUAUACGAUAAUACACACACAUUCAUAUGGCGGCCAUUUUAACACUUAUAGAAGAGAAGUAAAUGUCAGUCGU